RNAcentral lists this ribosomal RNA (460 nucleotides) under uncultured bacterium. Its description in RNAcentral is "partial 16S ribosomal RNA". It matches the Rfam family "Bacterial small subunit ribosomal RNA", at positions 338 to 795 of the family's 1533-position model. The record is from RNAcentral.
CCUACGGGAGGCAGCAGUGAGGAAUAUUGGUCAAUGGGCGUAAGUCUGAACCAGCCAAGUCGCGUGAGGGAUGAAGGUUCUAUGGAUCGUAAACCUCUUUUAUAAGGGAAUAAAGUGCGGGACGUGUCCCGUUUUGUAUGUACCUUAUGAAUAAGGAUCGGCUAACUCCGUGCCAGCAGCCGCGGUAAUACGGAGGAUCCGAGCGUUAUCCGGAUUUAUUGGGUUUAAAGGGUGCGUAGGCGGCCUUUUAAGUCAGCGGUGAAAGUCUGUGGCUCAACCAUAGAAUUGCGGUUGAAACUGAGAGGCUUGAGUAUGUGUGAGGCAGGCGGAAUGCGUGGUGUAGCGGUGAAAUGCUUAGAUAUCACGCAGAACCCCGAUUGCGAAGGCAGCCUGCCAAGCCAUGACUGACGCUGAUGCACGAAAGCGUGGGUAUCAAACAGGAUUAGAUACCCCUGUAGUC